This 427-nucleotide ribosomal RNA is filed under the name uncultured bacterium. Its description in RNAcentral is "bacterial SSU rRNA". It matches the Rfam family "Bacterial small subunit ribosomal RNA", at positions 355 to 775 of the family's 1533-position model. The record is from RNAcentral.
UCGAGAAUUUUUCUCAAUGGGGGCAACCCUGAAGGAGCGACGCCGCGUGGAGGAUGAAGGCUUUCGGGUUGUAAACUCCUGUCAUUUGGGAACAAGUUACGAGUAUUAACCGUGCUCGUAUUGAUAGUACCAGAAGAGGAAGGGACGGCUAACUCUGUGCCAGCAGCCGCGGUAAUACAGAGGUCCCAAGCGUUGUUCGGAUUCAUUGGGCGUAAAGGGUGCGUAGGUGGCGCCGUAAGUCGGGUGUGAAAUUUCGGAGCUUAACUCCGAAACUGCAUUCGAUACUGCGGUGCUUGAGGACUGGAGAGGAGACUGGAAUUCAUGGUGUAGCAGUGAAAUGCGUAGAGAUCAUGAGGAAGACCAGUGGCGAAGGCGGGUCUCUGGACAGUUCCUGACACUGAGGCACGAAGGCCAGGGGAGCAAACGG